GAUGAACGCUGGCGGCGUGCCUAAUACAUGCAAGUCGAACGCUGAAGGAGGAGCUUGCUCUUCUGGAUGAGUCGCGCACGGGUGUGUAACGCGUAGGUAACCCGCCUGGUAGCGGGGGAUAUCUGUUGGAGACGAUAGAUAAUACAGCAUGACAACAGUUAUUGCAUGAUAAUCGUCUGACAGGGGCAACUGCUCUACUACUAGAUGGACCUGCGUUGUAUUAGCUAGUUGGUGAGGUCACGGCGCAACAAGGCGACGAUACAUAGCCGACCUGCAGAGGUGAUCGGCCACACUGGGACUGGGAAAAGGCCCAGACUCCUACGGGGAGCAGCAGUAGGGAAUCUUCGGCAAUGGACGGAAGUCUGGCCGAACAACGCCGCGUGAGGGAAGGAAGGUUUCGGAACGUAAAGCUCUGUUGUAAGGGGAGAACGAGUGGGAGAGUGGAAAGUUCACACUGUGACGGUAUCUAACCAGAAAGGGACGGCUAACUACGUG
RNAcentral lists this ribosomal RNA (495 nucleotides) under uncultured bacterium. Its description in RNAcentral is "partial 16S ribosomal RNA". It matches the Rfam family "Bacterial small subunit ribosomal RNA", at positions 28 to 507 of the family's 1533-position model. The record is from RNAcentral.